UAUAGAUACAAACACACAACACAAGAAACAAAACAUUAACUUUCUAAGCUAUGAAGAACCAACGCAGCUUCUCCAUUGCUGCUCUUCUUCUCAUUAUCCUUUCUUCAUCUGUCUCUCUGCUCAGCUUCAGACAAACUUUUAGUGGAACUCAUGUCCUAACGUCGAAACUAUUGUCCGCAACGCCGUCCGCCAAAAGUUCCAACAGACGUUUGUAACAGCUCCAGCCACUCUCCGCCUUUUCUUUCAUGAUUGCUUCGUCCGUGGAUUCGACACGGUGGUGAAGGCGAAGCAGGCCGUUGAUAGGGAUCCUAACUGCCGUAACAAAGUAUCAUGUGCUGACAUUUUGGCUCUCGCCACUCCUGACGUCGUCGUUCUGGUAUAAAUAUAUUUAAACUCUUAUUGAUCUUUUUCCUUUUUGACAUCUUAUUCAAAAUUCUAGUAAAAGGAAAUGUCACACGGAAAAAAAAGAAAAGAUGUAGGCUAAUUCUAGUAUGCCUUUUUUUGUGACACAAAGUAACAAUAUUACUGUUUCGUUUACUUUGAUUUUUUUUUUUUAUGUAACAAUCUAUCGUGAUCAUAAAGAUCAGAAAUGUAUAUUACCUAACUUAGUGAAAAUUAUAGGAUUACUUCUUUUGUAAUUUAUCCUAAACUAUAAACAGUACGUACUGUUCAUUAGGUGUAUACACCAUCGAUUAGGUUAUUAUUAUGUUUUUUUUUUUUUGACAAUGGUUAUUAUUAUGUUCUUGUGUGAUUUUAUUAUAUAAUUGGGGUGUCAUAGUUAUUAAAAGAUGGUGAGAUUAAGAAUAAUACUACUGUAUGUUGGCCAAACUAUCCGGUGGAGCUAGGAAGGAGAGACGGAAGACUAUCGACAGUGGGUAGCGUUCAACACAGUCUGCCUCAACCUGGUUUCAAUUUAAACCAGCUUAACACUAGCUAUGUUCGCUCGUCACGGUCUAUCCCAAACUGAUAUGAUCGCACUCUCAGGUAUUUAAACCAAAGCAACCCAUAUUAUACCGACUUUAGUUCAUAUAUUGGAUCCGACUUCUCCAAAUACCUUUGACAAUGCUUACUUCAAAAACCUCCAAAAAGGGAUGGGUUUGUUCACGUCCGAUCAAGUUUUGUUCUCUGAUCAACGGUCUAGAUCAACUGUCAAUUCAUUUGCUUCUAGUGAAGUAGCUUUUAGACAGGCUUGUGUUUCUGCUAUAACGAAGUUGGGUCGGGUUGGAGUUAAAUCCGGUAACGCUGGUGAGAUAAGACAUGAUUGCUCACGUGUCAACUAGUGAUUUGUUGUUUUUUAUAUUUUUCCGUUAAGAAUUUUGCUUUUUUUUUUAUUUAAAAUAUAUGUAUUCCGGUGGUUCAUUGACGGAAAAAAAAAAGCUCGACCACCUUAUUUAGAUGUUGGAACCCCAUUUCUUAA
Molecule: non-coding RNA, 1417 nt
Organism: Camelina sativa (false flax)
Lineage: Eukaryota; Viridiplantae; Streptophyta; Magnoliopsida; Brassicales; Brassicaceae
Source: RefSeq, a predicted model, not a curated record